RNAcentral lists this non-coding RNA (44 nucleotides) under Trichobilharzia regenti. The record is from RNAcentral. Lineage: Eukaryota; Metazoa; Platyhelminthes; Trematoda; Strigeidida; Schistosomatidae.
AUCAAGGUGACGAGUCCCAAAUAGAACGAAAUACGCAUCCUGAU